CUCCUCGCCGCCGCCUCCUCCCCGCUCGCCGCCCUCCUCGCCGCCUCCAAGGCCGCCUCCAAGUCCUACAAGGCGGCGCGCGCGCUCGACCCGGCCGCGCGUCCCCCCUCGCUGCCCUCCUCCAAGCGUGUCAAGGCCGCCUUCGCCGCCGCCUCCCUCCUCCGCCUCGCCCCGACCCUCCUCCUCCUCCCCGCCGCCGCCGCCUCCCCCUCCUCCUCCUCCUCCUCCCCCACCGCCCUCUUCGCGCUCGCGCUGCUCAAGUCCGGCUACAAGCUCUCCAAGAACUCCGCCAAGGUCGUCGAGGGCUUCCUCGGCCUGCAGGUCCACAAGGGCUUCCGCAACGGCGUCGACGCGCUCGGGGUCGUCGUCAAGGUCGCCGUCAUCGCCUCCGAGGUCGUCGUCUGGGUCGCCGUCAUCGCCUCCGAGGUCGCCGUCGCCGCGAGCGUGCUGGGCCUCGCCGAGGACUGGAUUGCUUUUAAAAAAAACUAG
RNAcentral lists this ribosomal RNA (489 nucleotides) under Triticum aestivum (bread wheat). RNAcentral's name for it is "partial small subunit ribosomal RNA". The record is from RNAcentral. Lineage: Eukaryota; Viridiplantae; Streptophyta; Magnoliopsida; Poales; Poaceae.